MicroRNA precursor from Nicotiana attenuata, 96 nucleotides. It matches the Rfam family "MIR6152 microRNA precursor family". The record is from Rfam. NCBI's taxonomy places the organism in Eukaryota, Viridiplantae, Streptophyta, Magnoliopsida, Solanales, Solanaceae.
UGGACAUAUUAUUGUAUUCGACUGUAUUCACGACGCGAAAUAGGGGAUUACACUGUUUUUAAACGGAAAGUGAAUCAAUUAACAUAAUAGACUCCU